UACGAAGGUCCCAAGCGUUGUUCGGAAUCACUGGGCGUAAAGGGAGCGUAGGCGGCGUGGUAAGUCAGAUGUGAAAUCCCGGGGCUCAACCCCGGAACUGCAUCCGAUACUGCCAUGCUAGAGGAUUGGAGAGGUAGCUGGAAUUCUUGGUGUAGCAGUGAAAUGCGUAGAGAUCAAGAGGAACACUCGUGGCGAAAGCGAGCUACUGGACAACUCCUGACGCUGAGGCUCGAAGGCCAGGGUAGCAAACGGG
Molecule: ribosomal RNA, 253 nt
Filed under: uncultured bacterium
Lineage: Bacteria
Description: partial 16S ribosomal RNA
Rfam family: Bacterial small subunit ribosomal RNA
Source: RNAcentral